AAGUGCCCGACGCGGGGAACGUG
Molecule: microRNA, 23 nt
Filed under: bovine alphaherpesvirus 1
Lineage: Duplodnaviria; Heunggongvirae; Peploviricota; Herviviricetes; Herpesvirales; Orthoherpesviridae
Description: bhv1-miR-B6-5p
Gene: bhv1-miR-B6-5p
Source: miRBase by way of RNAcentral